Molecule: unclassified non-coding RNA, 578 nt
Filed under: Hevea brasiliensis (rubber tree)
Lineage: Eukaryota; Viridiplantae; Streptophyta; Magnoliopsida; Malpighiales; Euphorbiaceae
Source: RNAcentral
AGAUGGCAGAAGAAACAGUUAAAAGAGUUACAGGGCUAAAUCCUUUAUUCCAAGCUAUGUCUGAGAUGUCCUCAAUGGCAAUGCCAUCCUUCUCUGGCAGUCCUUCGGACACAUCAACAGACACUGCUGUGCCUGUGCCAGAUGAUUCUCAACAUCAUUACUACCAACAACCGCCAAAUAAUCAUAUGCCAACCCAUGAUCCUAGAAUUCAAAAUGGUAUGGUUGAUGUUCCUACAAUAGGAACUGUACAGCAGAAUCCUGCAGCUGCAGCAGUUGGUGGGAAUAAGAUGGGUAGAACAGCUUCAAUGCAGCGCGUAGCCAGCUUGGAGCAUCUGCAGAAGCGCAUACGUGGAGAAGUGAGUUCCUGUGGAACCCAAGGUCGGGGAGAGCAAUAAACACUGUCAAAGCCCCCAGCUGCACUGAAUCAGAUUUUGCACAUGCAUGUUGAUAAAAUUAUACUGUUUUUAACCAUUUGUGGCAGGAAAAAUGCCCAUUCUUUGUAUGGCAACGCCUUCUUGGAUGAUACUAAUGGAUUGACAUCCCUUUGCUAUGCUAGUUCUGACUAUUCUCAGUCAUCA